This 311-nucleotide ribosomal RNA is filed under the name Panagrolaimus cf. rigidus AF40. RNAcentral describes it as "LSU rRNA". It matches the Rfam family "Eukaryotic large subunit ribosomal RNA", at positions 653 to 944 of the family's 3401-position model. Lineage: Eukaryota; Metazoa; Nematoda; Chromadorea; Rhabditida; Panagrolaimidae. The record is from RNAcentral.
CUUGAAACACGGACCGAGGAGUGUAACUUGUGCGCGAGUCAGAGGGUGUUAAACCUUACGGCGAAAUGAAAGUAAAGGUCGAUUAAUCGGCUGAGAUGGGAUCCUUGCUUUACGGCUUGGCGCACCAUCGCCCUGUCUCGAAAGCUUGCUUUUGGGCAGAGGUAGAGCGUACAGGUUGCGACCCGAAAGAUGGUGAACUAUGCUUGAGCAGAACGAAGCCAGAGGAAACUCUGGUGGAAGUUCGUAUCGGUUCUGACGUGCAAAUCGAUCGAUAGACUUGAGUAUAGGGGCGAAAGACUAAUCGAACCAUC